This 322-nucleotide ribosomal RNA is filed under the name uncultured Chloroflexota bacterium. RNAcentral describes it as "uncultured Chloroflexi bacterium partial 16S ribosomal RNA". It matches the Rfam family "Bacterial small subunit ribosomal RNA", at positions 28 to 351 of the family's 1533-position model. Lineage: Bacteria; Bacillati; Chloroflexota. The record is from RNAcentral.
GAUGAACGCUGGCGGCGUGCUUAAUACAUGCAAGUCGAACGGAGGAUGUAGCAAUAUAUCCUCAGUGGCGAACGGGUGAGUAACGCGUUGGUGACCUGCCCCGAAGAGGGGGAUAACAGUUCGAAAGGAUUGCUAAUACCGCAUACGGUUGCGAGGAUUAGAGGCCUCACAACCAAAGGAGAAAUCCGCUUCGGGAGGGACCUGCGUCCCAUCAGCUAGUUGGUAGGGUAACGGCCUACCAAGGCGAAGACGGGUAGGGGACCUGAGAGGGUGGCCCCCCACAAUGGAACUGAAACACGGUCCAUACACCUACGGGAGGCAG